AUGGCAUAUUUGCUUUGAUAAUUAGGCUGAAGCAUUUUUGGUUGUCGAGAUCAUAUCCAGAGUCCUAUCAGGGUUUUAGGUAAGAAAAGGAAUGGCACUGAAUUUUAGGUAAGAAAAGGAAUGGCACUGAAUGCCUACAAGUUAACCAUAUUAGCCAACAGCACCCAGUUAUUGUUUUUGGUAUAGUAAUUGGGGAGCAAAAGCUGUUAGUGAAACGGAGCGUUUGAUAGGGGCGGGAAUUCUUGUCAGUCUGUUAAGACGUUAGCAGGUUGUUUGUGUGUUAUGAUACAUGUCAAAUAAUGAUUGGUUCGAUGUAAAAUCUUUAAAUAGUUAGGCAGAGCUGAUUGUAAUCUCUAUUAAAGAUAUGGAACCUUCUGUAACAUAUGUGACUGUGAUUGAAUAAUAACUGUUCUUCCUUCUCAAG
This 424-nucleotide unclassified non-coding RNA is filed under the name Hevea brasiliensis (rubber tree). The record is from RNAcentral. Lineage: Eukaryota; Viridiplantae; Streptophyta; Magnoliopsida; Malpighiales; Euphorbiaceae.